UCCUCCACCAGAUCAAGUCUUCAAAGAUAUAUUCGAUGUUUGAAAACAUUUUUUGUUUGUGCACUAACAGUUCUUUGUUUUUCAGUUGGUCAUAUUUAUUUUAUGACAGCUUUGUUGCAGCAGUACUAUAAUGCACAAGUGCUGUACUUUUGGAAAUGCUGUACAAGAAGAUUUUAACAAACGCAGAUAACAAAACGUUAUUAAUUACUUGCAUAUUUCCUGUUUUAAUAUAGUAGUGGAGAUGUUUAAAAUUUUAAUGUCUUCAAACAAGAAUUAAGCCUUUUACAAAUUUAAUAAUAGAGUUAAGAAGAAGGAAGACCUCUAAAACGUUCUUUAAAAAUUUAAUUGCUUUGAAAACCACAAAACGGAAACUAACCAAAAUAACUCAAAGUUAGCAGCAAAACAACUUAAGCAAUAUAUACGUGCACACUAUAGCCCAAAUAAGUAAUGACGCUCGUCGUCAUUUUUCUACUAAAUAAUAAAACUUUUCUUCAUUAUGAUACUAUUUUUCAAUCUUUUCUUCCGUGGAAUGUUGGAAAGGUGUUGAUGCAUGUUCUUUGAAAGUUUCAAGAGAGAAAUAUAUA
Long non-coding RNA from Xenia sp. Carnegie-2017, 584 nucleotides. RefSeq lists it as uncharacterized. The transcript is spliced from 3 exons. The record is from RefSeq and is a predicted model, not a curated record. NCBI's taxonomy places the organism in Eukaryota, Metazoa, Cnidaria, Anthozoa, Malacalcyonacea, Xeniidae.